AGAGUUUGAUCCUGGCUCAGGACGAACGCUGGCGGCGCGCCUAACACAUGCAAGUCGAACGAGCGAGAGAGAGCUUGCUUUCUCGAGCGAGUGGCGAACGGGUGAGUAACGCGUGAGGAACCUGCCUCAAAGAGGGGGACAACAGUUGGAAACGACUGCUAAUACCGCAUAAGCCCACGGCUCGGCAUCGAGCAGAGGGAAAAGGAGCAAUCCGCCUUGAGAUGGCCUCGCGUCCGAUUAGCCAGUUGGUGAGGUAAUGGCCCACCAAGGCAACGAUCGAUAGCCGGACUGAGAGGUUGAACGGCCACAUUGGGACUGAGACACGGCCCAGACUCCUACGGGAGGCAGCAGUGGGGAAUAUUGCACAAUGGGGGAAACCCUGAUGCAGCGACGCCGCGUGGAGGAAGAAGGUCUUCGGAUUGUAAACUCCUGUUGUUGAGGAAGAUAAUGACGGUACUCAACAAGGAAGUGACGGCUAACUACGUGCCAGCAGCCGCGGUAAAACGUAGGUCACAAGCGUUGUCCGGAAUUACUGGGUGUAAAGGGAGCGCAGGCGGGAAGACAAGUUGGAAGUGAAAUCUAUGGGCUCAACCCAUAAACUGCUUUCAAAACUGUUUUUCUUGAGUAGUGCAGAGGUAGGCGGAAUUCCCGGUGUAGCGGUGGAAUGCGUAGAUAUCGGGAGGAACACCAGUGGCGAAGGCGGCCUACUGGGCACCAACUGACGCUGAGGCUCGAAAGUGUGGGUAGCAAACAGGAUUAGAUACCCUGGUAGUCCACACCGUAAACGAUGAUUACUAGGUGUUGGAGGAUUGACCCCUUCAGUGCCGCAGUUAACACAAUAGGUAAUCCACCUGGGGAGUACGACCGCAAGGUUGAAACUCAAAGGAAUUGACGGGGGCCCGCACAAGCAGUGGAGUAUGUGGUUUAAUUCGACGCAACGCGAAGAACCUUACCAAGUCUUGACAUCCUGCGACGAUGCUGGAAACAGUAUUUUCCUUCGGGACGCAGAGACAGGUGGUGCAUGGUUGUCGUCAGCUUGUGUCGUGAGAUGUUGGGUUAAGUCCCGCAACGAGCGCAACCCUUACUGUCAGUUACUACGCAAGAGGACUCUGGCAGGACUGCCGUUGACAAAACGGAGGAAGGUGGGGAUGACGUCAAAUCAUCAUGCCCUUUAUGACUUGGGCUACACACGUACUACAAUGGCGUUAAACAAAGAGAAGCAAGACCGCGAGGUGGAGCAAAACUCAGAAACAACGUCCCAGUUCGGACUGCAGGCUGCAACUCGCCUGCACGAAGUCGGAAUUGCUAGUAAUCGUGGAUCAGCAUGCCACGGUGAAUACAUUCCCGGGCCUUGCACUCACCGCCCGUCA
Molecule: ribosomal RNA, 1370 nt
Filed under: uncultured bacterium
Lineage: Bacteria
Description: bacterial SSU rRNA
Rfam family: Bacterial small subunit ribosomal RNA
Source: RNAcentral